AUUGAACGCUGGCGGCAGGCCUAACACAUGCAAGUCGAGCGGUAGAGAGAAGCUUGCUUCUCUUGAGAGCGGCGGACGGGUGAGUAAUGCCUAGGAAUCUGCCUGGUAGUGGGGGAUAACGCUCGGAAACGGACGCUAAUACCGCAUACGUCCUACGGGAGAAAGCAGGGGACCUUCGGGCCUUGCGCUAUCAGAUGAGCCUAGGUCGGAUUAGCUAGUUGGUGAGGUAAUGGCUCACCAAGGCGACGAUCCGUAACUGGUCUGAGAGGAUGAUCAGUCACACUGGAACUGAGACACGGUCCAGACUCCUACGGGAGGCAGCAGUGGGGAAUAUUGGACAAUGGGCGAAAGCCUGAUCCAGCCAUGCCGCGUGUGUGAAGAAGGUCUUCGGAUUGUAAAGCACUUUAAGUUGGGAGGAAGGGCAUUAACCUAAUACGUUGGUGUCUUGACGUUACCGACAGAAUAAGCACCGGCUAACUCUGUGCCAGCAGCCGCGGUAAUACAGAGGGUGCAAGCGUUAAUCGGAAUUACUGGGCGUAAAGCGCGCGUAGGUGGUUCGUUAAGUUGGAUGUGAAAUCCCCGGGCUCAACCUGGGAACUGCAUUCAAAACUGACGAGCUAGAGUAUGGUAGAGGGUGGUGGAAUUUCCUGUGUAGCGGUGAAAUGCGUAGAUAUAGGAAGGAACACCAGUGGCGAAGGCGACCACCUGGACUGAUACUGACACUGAGGUGCGAAAGCGUGGGGAGCAAGCAGGAUUAGAUACCCUGGUAGUCCACGCCGUAAACGAUGUCAACUAGCCGUUGGGAGCCUUGAGCUCUUAGUGGCGCAGCUAACGCAUUAAGUUGACCGCCUGGGGAGUACGGCCGCAAGGUUAAAACUCAAAUGAAUUGACGGGGGCCCGCACAAGCGGUGGAGCAUGUGGUUUAAUUCGAAGCAACGCGAAGAACCUUACCAG
Molecule: ribosomal RNA, 954 nt
Filed under: uncultured bacterium
Lineage: Bacteria
Description: bacterial SSU rRNA
Rfam family: Bacterial small subunit ribosomal RNA
Source: RNAcentral